CUAAAGGCUCUUUUCAGAGCCACUUCCAUUUUCAUUCAAAAUUGCU
Molecule: non-coding RNA, 46 nt
Organism: Equus caballus (horse)
Lineage: Eukaryota; Metazoa; Chordata; Mammalia; Perissodactyla; Equidae
Source: Rfam